GUUUGGUGCAGGGGUUCCUGGAGUCUGUUACCUCACAGAUGUGGAAAAGAUUCGUGUCCAGGGAAUACAAAAAUUCCUCAAUUCCUUAACCCACCUGGAAUUCAACAUGGAUAUUUCAAAUCUGGCUGUUCAGGCACGUGGAGCUGGACAUGGAUUGGCUUCCACAGGGAUGGGAGCUGGAGUGCCAAAAACUCCUGCAGAACAACCAAGGCUCCAGGCUGGAGGAGAAGUCUAAGAAAUAUCCCUUCCAAAUGAGCCUGGUGAGAUUUUCCCUGGAUAUUUGGGUUAUUGAGGCCUUCCCAAGCUGCAGAACGCUGGGAUCCAGAUUCCAGCCAACAGUGACUCUUUGCCAUCUUUGUUUUCCUACAGUUGAUCCUCUGGGUUAUUGGUAAAUUCUGGUUCUGUCCCAAUCCCCGUUUUGUUUUGGAAGGGAAUUAGCUUCUAGGUGAAAUAUCUUUGUUUUCCCAGCUCAUUUUUUCUGACUUCGCCACAUCCCAGUUUCCCAUAGGAAGCGCUGAUGGGAACUUUGAUAACAAGUCCAAAUGCCAUGAAAACUCUCUUCCAACCCAACCCAACCCAACCCAACCCAACCCAACCCAACCCAACC
Molecule: long non-coding RNA, 607 nt
Filed under: Cyanistes caeruleus (blue tit)
Lineage: Eukaryota; Metazoa; Chordata; Aves; Passeriformes; Paridae
Description: lncRNA (ENSCCEG00000003542.1)
Source: RNAcentral